AACUCAGCUCAAUUGGACGCUCAUUUUAUAUUUAAGAGACGAACUUUUUUCACCGAGAUACUUUUUUUCUUCUCUAGAUUUUAGGGACAUUUUAAACGACGCAGCGAUAAUUCUAAAAAAGUGAACAGUCCUCUUAAAUAUAUAUAUAUUUUAUUUAGCCUGCAAGAAAUCCCAGUUCAACAUCCCAGGACUGUUGGCUGAAUGUCAAGUUGACCUGCUCAAUGCUGAUAAAAGUAUUGACGAGAUAUUGAACGCCAAGGAGUUUAUUGGAGUAGAUACUGGAGCAUUUAAAAGAAACUGAACAUCUGGAUUUCAAGAUAUUAUCAUUAAUGUAAAAAUUAUGGAAAAUAUUGGAUAAAUAAAUAUGUAGAAACACAA
Long non-coding RNA from Eurytemora carolleeae, 378 nucleotides. RefSeq lists it as uncharacterized. Lineage: Eukaryota; Metazoa; Arthropoda; Copepoda; Calanoida; Temoridae. The record is from RefSeq and is a predicted model, not a curated record. The transcript has 2 exons.